RNAcentral lists this ribosomal RNA (497 nucleotides) under uncultured bacterium. Its description in RNAcentral is "partial 16S ribosomal RNA". It matches the Rfam family "Bacterial small subunit ribosomal RNA", at positions 28 to 507 of the family's 1533-position model. The record is from RNAcentral.
GAUGAACGCUGGCGGCGUGCCUAAUACAUGCAAGUCGAGCGAACAGACGAGGAGCUUGCUCCUCUGACGUUAGCGGCGGACGGGUGAGUAACACGUGGAUAACCUACCUAUAAGACUGGGAUAACUUCGGGAAACCGGAGCUAAUACCGGAUAAUAUAUUCAACCGCAUGGUUCAAUAGUGAAAGACGGUUUUGCUGUCACUUAUCGAUGGAUCCGCGCCGCAUUAGCUAGUUGGUAAGGUAACGGCUUACCAAGGCGACGAUGCGUAGCCGACCUGAGAGGGUGAUCGGCCACACUGGAACUGAGACACGGUCCAGACUCCUACGGGAGGCAGCAGUAGGGAAUCUUCCGCAAUGGGCGAAAGCCUGACGGAGCAACGCCGCGUGAGUGAUGAAGGUCUUCGGAUCGUAAAACUCUGUUAUUAGGGAAGAACAAAUGUGUAAGUAACUAUGCACGUCUUGACGGUACCUAAUCAGAAAGCCACGGCUAACUACGUG